UGGCUCUCGCAUCGAUGAAGAACGCAGCGAAAUGCGAUAAGUAAUGUGAAUUGCAGAAUUCAGUGAAUCAUCGAAUCUUUGAACGCACCUUGCACCCUUUGGUAUUCCGAAGGGUACACCCGUUUGAGUGUCAUUGUAAUCUCACUACUAUCAUUUUGGUGAUUGUAUGUGGACCUGGAUGCUGCCGUGUUGCAAACGGCUCGUCUAAAAUGCUUGAGUGUACCCUGCUUUGCAGUGUAUUCGGUGUAAUACAGCUUCACCGGAGUCUGAUCCUUUGGGAUCACAUCUGCAUAUGUAAGGCUCUAUGCUACCAACGGUCUUGACCAGACAAUAUCUGACAAUUUGACCUCAAAUCGGGUGGGACUACCCGCUGA
Molecule: unclassified non-coding RNA, 374 nt
Filed under: uncultured fungus
Lineage: Eukaryota; Fungi
Description: partial contains 5.8S ribosomal RNA and internal transcribed spacer 2
Rfam family: 5.8S ribosomal RNA (bases 1-133)
Source: RNAcentral